CAGGUACUAUUGUCAUUCCACUUACAGCAGGACGAUAAGGCACAGUAUGGUGAAAUAACUUGCCUGGUAUCAAGGAGGAAGAGCUAGACUUUGAAACUGGGUACUGUGGCCCCCAGAGUCCUCUAUCUUAACCACUUUCGUUGCUAGAUUCUUUUAUUUUAUCUCAUGUGUCCCCCACAGAAGCCCUUUGAUUUUCUUAUUAGUCCCCAAACAUGUUAAACACUUUGUGUGUGUGUGUGUGUGUGUGAUCACUUGUUCACACUCUUUGUACAUUCCUUUCUUUCUAUUUAUCUGAGGCUGGCCUUCAAGCUUUGUUCAAUACUUUCAGUUGCCUCUGGUUGGUUAUUUAAUAAUAUCCCCUCUUCAAGACAAUCUGCCUUGAGCAUACAUUUUCUUAUAUGUAUUUCUCUUCCAGGUCUACAUGUUUUCCCACCUAGCAGAGUGUGAGAUCUUUGAGACCCAAACCCAUAGUCUUAUAUCCUGUUUUAUCUCCAGCAUCUAAUGCAGAAUCUCUCAUAGAGCUAUGGUUGCACAAAGCACUGGUUUCACAGGGAGUUGUUCUUUAGUUCUAUAAUGCCCAUUAUCUCUCUGCCAAUCUUUGAAAUUGAAUACUUUUCUCAAGCUUAUUGACAAGUGACUGGAAUUCUCUCUCUGGCUUUUUUGCAUAUUUACCCUGAUGAAGAGGCCCUGUCAAGGAACUGUGGGUAUCCUCUGGUCGGCAGCCAGAGAGAAACAGAGGACCUUGGAAUAACAGCCUUCAAGAAGCAUUAUUUUGCCAACAGCCAUGUGAGUUAUCUUGGAUGCAGAUCAUUUCCCAGUUGAGCCUUCUGAUGAGACUGCAGACCCAGUUUCCACUUGAUUGCAGCCUUACAAGAGACUGAAGCUGAGGACCUAAAUAAGUCAUACCCAGAUUUCUCCUCCAAAGAAACUGUGAGAUAAUAUGUGUGCAUAUUUUAAACUGACAAACUUCAGGGUACUGUGAUUCAUAGCAACAGAUCAGCAAAGCACACACUAAGUGUCUCAAAUGUUCAUGAUAUAAUAGCAUAAAAGUAAUAAAACAAGUGGACAAACAAAUCUAUGAUCAAUGAAUGUCAUGAAAUGUCUCAGAGACAACUGGGUAACCACAUGAAGAAGUUGUCCCAUGUACAUGUGAGGGCCAAUGAGUUAAAGGAGCCCUAGUUAGCUAGUUUGAUUUCAUGGGGGUUACUCUUGGUUGCAUAAAUUUAAUUAUUUAUUUAUUUAUUUUUUUGAGAUGGAGUCUUACUUUGUCACCCAGGCUGGAGUGCAGUGGCACAAUCUUGGCUCACUGCAACCUCUGCCUCCCGGGUUCAAGCAAUUCUCCUGCCUCAGCCAUAAGAGUAGCUGGGACUACAGGCACAUGCCACCAUGCCUGCCUAACUUUUGUAUUUUUAGUAGAGACAGGGUUUCACCAUGCUGGCCAGGCUGGUCUCGAACUCCUGACCUCAUGAUCUGCCUGCCUCAGCCUCCAAAAGUGCUGUGAUUAGAGGCAUGAGUCACCAUACCUGGCUGGUUGCAUAAAUUUAUACAGUAUAUUUUACUUCUUUGUCUGACUUCCUGCUAUUUCCCUCCCUACUGAUCGUUUUGUGGGCUGAUUUUUUUUUGUAAUUUUAAUUGAAUCAUGUUAUGCUGUAUAUGAAGUGAAACCUUUA
This 1670-nucleotide long non-coding RNA is filed under the name Homo sapiens (human). RNAcentral describes it as "HSALNT0353463". Lineage: Eukaryota; Metazoa; Chordata; Mammalia; Primates; Hominidae. The record is from RNAcentral.